This 490-nucleotide ribosomal RNA is filed under the name uncultured bacterium. Its description in RNAcentral is "partial 16S ribosomal RNA". It matches the Rfam family "Bacterial small subunit ribosomal RNA", at positions 30 to 507 of the family's 1533-position model. The record is from RNAcentral.
AUUGAACGCUGGCGGCAGGCCUAACACAUGCAAGUCGAACGGUAACAGGAAGAAGCUUGCUUCUUUGCUGACGAGUGGCGGACGGGUGAGUAAUGUCUGGGAAACUGCCUGAUGGAGGGGGAUAACUACUGGAAACGGUAGCUAAUACCGCAUAACGUCGCAAGACCAAAGAGGGGGACCUUCGGGCCUCUUGCCAUCGGAUGUGCCCAGAUGGGAUUAGCUAGUAGGUGGGGUAACGGCUCACCUAGGCGACGAUCCCUAGCUUGUCUGAGAGGAUGACCAGCCACACUGGAACUGAGACACGGUCCAGACUCCUACGGGAGGCAGCAGUGGGGAAUAUUGCACAAUGGGCGCAAGCCUGAUGCAGCCAUGCCGCGUGUAUGAAGAAGGCCUUCGGGUUGUAAAGUACUUUCAGCGGGGAGGAAGGGAGUAAAGUUAAUACCUUUGCUCAUUGACGUUACCCGCAGAAGAAGCACCGGCUAACUCCGUG